Molecule: microRNA precursor, 204 nt
Filed under: Oryza glumipatula
Lineage: Eukaryota; Viridiplantae; Streptophyta; Magnoliopsida; Poales; Poaceae
Description: MIR812 microRNA precursor family
Rfam family: MIR812 microRNA precursor family
Source: Rfam by way of RNAcentral
AAAAAGACAAACCCUGGUUUCCGUGUUGAACGUUUGACCGUUCGUCUUAUUUAAAAAAAAUAUGAAAAAAUUAAAAAGACAAGUCACACAUAAAAUAUUAAUCAUGUUUUAUCAUCUAACAACAAUGAAAAUACGAAUUAUAAAAAAAUUUCAUAUAAGACUGACAGUCAAAGUUGGACACGGAAACCUAGGGUUUGCCUUUUU